Molecule: long non-coding RNA, 5286 nt
Organism: Anthonomus grandis grandis
Lineage: Eukaryota; Metazoa; Arthropoda; Insecta; Coleoptera; Curculionidae
Exons: 5
Source: RefSeq, a predicted model, not a curated record
AUUUUUCACUCUCCCGUUUUGGCGCGUAAAAGACUUCUCUUAAUUAAUCAUUUAUUACAGUGAACGGAUAAUAAUAUACUGGUUUAUAUUAUUAACUUAAAAAUUAUUACUUUAUUACGUUUAAUGGAAACCGCGGAUUGGUGAGGGGUAACUUGCGAUGCAAAAACCAUCGAUGUUGGAGAGUCUGCGUUUUGUGGCUGGCCGCCUCAAAGCUGUUGAGGCGUUUUUUUCUUUAUAGAAACUGCAAAAGGAAAUAUUCGGUUAUGUGCGGUUAAUUUUUUGAGAAAAGCAAAAUAGGCAUCAGAAGGAUGUUGGAUCUAUUGUAUGCCUGGGCGUGUAAAAUGUCAACGAGCACUGCACAUGACUAUUUUGGGGUAACAAGAGUCAGUCCUAUUCAAUAUUUCUGGUUUUUUCAGGAUAUUUGUUCCUGGAACUGGUUGCUAAUAUCGGACGAAUUUCAAUUAGGUAUAGGUAUUAACACGCAAAUCAUGGGUGGUAGCAUCGUGUGAAUUCCAAUGUGCCUAUAUACCCGUGUGAAUGACACGGGUCUGUGUGGUUGGCGAAAGAUUAUGCGUAUUGGCGCACGUGUGGAGGAGUGGGAUUUCAAAAAGGGAUUGGAAGACCGCACCUGCAUGUCAAGCGUUACUUUUGUCUAAUUUAGAAUUGCUAUAGGAGGUCCUGAACGCAUAUUCGUAUGUAGAUGCAAAUCACCACAUUAUCCCGAUCGGUCAAGUCGAACUGCAACUCGUAUGCCAGAAACGUAUUUGAAUAAAAAUUUCUUACACGUCUCCUACAUACGCAUUAUAAGUAACGUUUAUUUUAUUAACGUUAAUUGCUAACCAAGCAUAAGAGAGCAUCUUCUUGUUGUGCGUCUAUGUCGGACGGUAAGCACACGCAUUAUUUUCAUGCUUGAAUAUGUCUGAAAUUAGAUUUAAUUGAUUUCUGACGAAUUAUGAUUGGAAAGACGUAAGAUGUAAGUGGAAGUUAGCCACAGCUUUGUCUUUACCUUUUUUGAUAGUUUUCAAAGUUUGACAGUAUAACAAAUGCUUUCCUAUAAGAAGUUUUUCACGCUACCUAUAAGUAAUAUUUAAAUAAUGUCUAAAAUUGUUAGGAAUUGACAAUCUCUAAGUAUACAUACAUACUUAGAGUUUGUCAGUUUGUCAAGUUUGACGCUAUAGCCGAAUUAAACGUCAUUUUGGCACUAAAGAGAGUAAUGUUGAUAAUUGAAGAUCACGUUGACUAUUCUUUCACUCUGAUUUGGUCAUUGUGAGUAAUUGGGAUUUUGAUUAUAUCAGAAUAAAUAAAUUAUAUCAAUAUUCUUUCCACAGAAUUUACAUUUAAGUCUUACGGGACUUGUGCUAUUGGUCCUAUUUAGUAAAUAUUUAGAAUUCACAAUUUCUCUUUUCACGAAAAUUAACAGGUUGACUGCCAAGCGGUCAUAUAUGAUCGCUCUUACCUAUAUCGCAGAGUGAAGAGCGGUCAUAUAUGCCCCCCGAAAUGACCGGAGCCUUCGUUGCCAGCGGGCAUGAGUUAGCAUGUAUUUUAUGAUGAACUGUGGCCGCUCUGGCCUCGGAUUCUAGGGUAAUGUAUGGAGUUUUUGCAUACAGUUUGCAAUUUGGAUUUUUAAAUGGCGGUCAUGUCUGCUAUAUUUAAUACGAUUGAAUGACCGCUGUGGCACAGAAGAUAAGUAUAUUUCAGAAAUAAUACAAUAAGGUUGAAAAAGUUAUAGUGUUUAUAUUUUCAACAGAGAAACUUACAAAAAUUUACAUUUAUUACUUUUGAUGAACAAUAUCGAAACAUGAGAAAUAAUAGUGGGGCUGGUUUUCACAGUUUGGGCAGAACUUUGGCACCUUCUUCACUUUAUUUUUUCCAUUGGGACCUGGUGCCUUAUUUUCAUAGCACCUCUUGCAAUACUUUCUUGUUUUUGCAACUGGACCCUCCUUUCUUGAUAGGCUAUGCCCUUUCAUCGACCUGGUAUUCGUAUAUUUUUCUUCUUCGAGGCUUUCUAGAUUCUGUUUCUAAUAAUUUUCUUAUUACCGACUCCCUGAAUUCUGUUAUUUUUAUUUUUUUUAUCUGCUAAGCUGUUGUAGAUAAGAUGUGCGUUUACCAUUGACGUACCCAUUAUAAAUUCUACAAGUUUACGGUACCAUUUUAUUGACUUUUGUAGUGCGCAGUUCCAUAACUAGUCAUUUGAUCGCUUUAGAUUUGCUUAUAGAGGAUUUGCCUUAAUUGUACUCAAGCACGGCUCGCGGUUUCAUUACUGUACCAUUCCUCCUUUGCACAGUUAUUGUCUCUGUUGCAUGUUUUGUUGGCAGCAUAAGUACGUCCCUUUUAUCACGCCAUUUCAAUACACAUAUGCCCCGUUCAUUUUCCAAUCCAAAAAUUUCACCUUUCUUUAGCCUUUUCUCAAUUACUUCUUGAGGAUUACCUCUACGCCUUGCUCUCAGAGUUCCUACAUAAUGAGUUUUAUUUUUAAGUAAUACGUUUGCCAGUUCUAAACUCGUGUAGUAAUUGUCAGCAAUUAGAGUGCGCCCUGAAUUUAAAAGAUUUUGGCUCAAAUUUAUUACAAUAUUUGUGGCCAUUGAACCAUUACCUCUGGUUUCUUGCUCUUUCCCUACGUAAAUUCGUACAUUCCAUGUACACCCGUUUCCACUGCACAGUUUGAACAAUUUGAUACCAUACUUGUGGGUUUUCUGUGGUAUGUAUUGUCUAAAAAUCAACCUACCUUGAAAUGGAACAAUCGAUUCAUCGAUACAGAAAGUAUGUCCAGGAGUAAAUAUCUCUUGGUACUUCAGAAUUAGUUUGUCUAAAAGGGGUUUGAUUUUAUGCAAUCUAUCGCCAGGUGGACAGGUAGAAUUAUCCGAAAAAUGCCAUAUUUUUAGUAGUAUUUGGAACCUAUUCCUUGGCAUUAUGGAGGGAACACAAUAGUUCUUAUAAAGUUUAUCUUUGGACCAAUAGUUCGAAAUCUGCGGUUUUUUUACGUCCCAUGUAACCAAUAAUACCAAUAAAUUUGAGAAUUUCAUGACAGUCAGUAGGCACCCAGCCACGUAGUCUUGAACCAGAAGUUACAUGCCCUGCUUCUGUUAGUACUUGGGUAGCAUACAGAUUGGUUUGGUCUGUCAUUUCCUGUAUAACAUCCCUAUCCAAAAAAAAUGUGAAGCAUUUAUAAGGCGUUUAUGAGUGCCGCGAUAUAAUUUGGAGCAAUUCCAAAUUCACUAGUCAUUGGAAAAUAUUCGUGCCUACCAAUUGGUUCCGACCAGGUAUGAGAGGGCGGAUCGCUUCUAAAGUGUUCAUUACUAGGAACCAGGUCUGAUGGGUCAAAUUCAGUCUCCACGAUAUUCUCAGAUUCAUCCAGGACAUGACUCUCUUUUAAAUUAUUCGAACAAUUUUCACGUGAGUUAUCAUUACUGGGAUUGUCCUUGCUACAACCAGCCACAGCUAAAUCAAUUUUACGCCUUUUCGGUACAUGUAUGUCCAUUCCGGAUUCAUCAGAAGAUGACUCAUAUUCAUCACUUGAUGGUAAAAACGCUGGAUCGACGAUUGAGUCGUCUUCGUCUUCACUACUGAUAUUGCUUUCAAGAAAAAAAAUAUUUAGAAGUGGUUAUAUGUCUUGGAACAAGUAAGUAAAUGAUAAUGUUUGCAGCUUAGAAAUAAAUCUACCUAGUUUGGCAUUCAAGGCUAAACUCAAAAUUCGUUUGCUGCGACUAGACAUAGCUGCACUCUUUGUACGUACUUGUCGAAAAUCGAGAAAGAACUAAAUGUUUCUAUUCCAUUCGUACGUAACACAUGGCCCGCCGCCGUCAACUGUAUUCAUACGUGAUCAACAGUUGACCAGUUGUACUUUCACCUCCAUUUAUCACUUUACCACGCUACAAAACAUACUGGGUUACAGUCGAACAAGAAACGUUCGCAUGGUUCCUGGAAAUAUUUACUUUUUGUCGCGAUGGCCGAUGCGAUGCUCGCUUGGCCACAGCGGCAGACUUGUUCCUACAGUGCCGGGCGGCCAUAUAUGACCGCUAUUUUUUUUAUUUAUUCUUAAAGAAAAAUAAUUAUUGAAACGUUUUGAUAUCGUUUUCUUAAUUUAUAUGCAAUGGUUGUCCGGAAAUGGGUUUUGGCACCUAGGGAAACUUUUGGUGAUAAUCCUCGGCAGUCAACCUGUAUCAAAUUUACGUUAUUUUAAAAGAUAUGACGUCUAAGAAUCACGUGACGUUCGAUUGUAAUACAUUUAUAUUUAUUAGCUUUACUUGUAUUUAGGUAUCUGAAGACCUAAUUAAUACGACUUCCAGAACUAACCAUUGAAAGACUAGAUAAAAAUGCAUUAGAACGAAUAUUUCUUCAGCUACAAGAUACUCAAGUAACAUAAUCUAUUUUGGAAAGCACCUUAUUACCAUCAAGUACAGAGCCAUAUAAAAACAGAAUAUCAUCUAACAAUGGAACACUAGACACAACCUAUUGUGUUUUUGCCGCUAGAAAAAUUGCAGAAUAAAAAGCUAGGUGCUUAACAUUUUCUACUGAUAUAAUCGCUGAGGUCGAAUAAAAUCCUGCAUAAUUUUUUCUGGUUACAAUAUCGUUCUUAAAUAAUUUAGAUAAAUAUGCAAAUACCGCCUUCUGAUUGAUCAAUAGUGAAAUACAUAGUACGUUCCGAUACAAAUGCAUUUCUUCCAAAAAUAAUAUUUUUGCUCAACCAACUCGUCGUAGAGAAAAGCAAAAACCUAUUCAACCAACAUCAGCAGCAAGAAGAAGAAUGGAAGGAAAAAGUAGAUUGGCCUUUGGCUAUACUUCGUCUAUCUACAUAAUUUAUAGGGUACAAAUAAAGCCAUUAUUUAUUUAUUUAAAAAUACGUUUUCUGGAAAAUCUUUUGACAACAAUGGAAAAAAAAGCCCUAGAAUUAUUAAAAAUGUGUGUAGAAAAAAAACGUCGGACUUGAAGAAAAUAAGUCCAAAAAAUAACAAUAUAUUUGUUUUGACAAUAUUUUGUUAUUUUUAUUAUUUUUUUAAAAAUAAUAAUCAGUAACGUCAAUAAAUCUAUGUUUUCUUUUUAUUCUACGAUAAUGUCAAACAUUUUUUAAAAAGCUAUAAACCUAAUAACAUUCAUUUAAAUGACACGUAUGUACGAGACGUGUAAGCAAUUUUCAUUCUAAUACUUUUCUUACAUAAGAGCUUGAGCUCGGCUGAACGCGAUCGAGAUAACGUGGAGAAUUGCGUCCGCUACAUACGAAUAUAUUAUGUCCUGGACAAAUCGUCCAAAUAGAUGAAUCGGUGGUUUCAAAUACCACAGGCGUCGCUU